AUUAGCUAGUUGGUGAGAUAACAGCCCACCAAGGCAAGGAUGCGUAGCCGACCUGAGAGGGUGAUCGGCCACAAUGGAACUGAGAAACGGUCCAUACUCCUACGGGAGGCAGCAGUAGGGAGUUUUCGGCAAUGGGGGAAACCCUGACCGAGCAACGCCGCGUGAGUGAUGAAGGUCUUCGGAUUGUAAAGCUCUGUUGUAGGGGACGAAUGGUAUAGAGAGGAAAUGCUCUGUACUUGACGGUACCUUACCAGAAAGCCACGGCUAACUACGUGCCAGCAGCCGCGGUAAUACGUAGGUGGCAAGCGUUAUCCGGAAUUAUUGGGCGUAAAGAGUGAGCAGGCGGCUGUUUAAGUCUGAAGUCAAAUCUAGGGGCUCAACCCCUAAUCGCUUUGGAAACUGGACAGCUAGAGUACGAGAGAGGUAUGUGGAAUUCCAUGUGUAGCGGUGAAAUGCGUAGAUAUAUGGAGGAACACCAGUGGCGAAGGCGGCAUACUAGCUCGAUACUGACGCUCAUUCACGAAAGCGUGGGUAGCAAAUAGGAUUAGAUACCCUAGUAGUCCACGCCGUAAAC
RNAcentral lists this ribosomal RNA (574 nucleotides) under uncultured bacterium. RNAcentral describes it as "bacterial SSU rRNA". It matches the Rfam family "Bacterial small subunit ribosomal RNA", at positions 240 to 807 of the family's 1533-position model. The record is from RNAcentral.